Molecule: ribosomal RNA, 129 nt
Filed under: Salmonella enterica subsp. enterica serovar Braenderup
Lineage: Bacteria; Pseudomonadati; Pseudomonadota; Gammaproteobacteria; Enterobacterales; Enterobacteriaceae
Description: partial 23S ribosomal RNA
Rfam family: Bacterial large subunit ribosomal RNA (bases 1-112)
Source: RNAcentral
GACUUUAGGUCUCCUGAAGGAACGUUGAAGACGACGACGUUGAUAGGCCGGGUGUGUAAGCGCAGCGAUGCGUUGAGCUAACCGGUACUAAUGAACCGUGAGGCUUAACCUUACAACGCCGAAGCUGUU